GGGGCUGUAACUCAGUGGUAGAGUGUUCGCUUUGCAUGCACCUAGUCUCCGGAUUACUAUGAUACUUAUAUGCGAAAAGUCCAGGGUUCGAUCCCCUGCCGCUCCA
Molecule: transfer RNA, 106 nt
Organism: Pseudogymnoascus pannorum
Lineage: Eukaryota; Fungi; Ascomycota; Leotiomycetes; Thelebolales; Thelebolaceae
Rfam family: tRNA
About the family: Transfer RNA (tRNA) molecules are approximately 80 nucleotides in length.
Source: Rfam